Long non-coding RNA from Chenopodium quinoa (quinoa), 1117 nucleotides. RefSeq lists it as uncharacterized. Lineage: Eukaryota; Viridiplantae; Streptophyta; Magnoliopsida; Caryophyllales; Amaranthaceae. The transcript is spliced from 3 exons. The record is from RefSeq and is a predicted model, not a curated record.
GACACAAAACCUAAACCCUUUGAACUAGAAGGCUCCACAAGGAAGAUCAAUCCCCGCCGACAUUCAGCUGAUGCACCAACAGUCCGGCGAGAGUAAUGUCGGCUACACGAUAUGAAUUCAAACUCGAUACUCAGAGACGUUUACAAAAUGUGCCUCUUCCAAAAAGAAUGACUCGAGGUGGAGGAGUUGUGGAACAAAUGGGUGAAGGACCGGGGAGAGUUGGUGCUAAUUCUUCGACGUGGGAAUGAGAAAAAAUCAUACAAGGUGCAUCUGAUGAAUAUUCUAAGUGCAUAUGGGACUAAGGAAACCUAUUUGAGUCAUGGAUGGAGCGCGUUUGUGCACGCGAACAGCUUGAAAUUGAAUGAUUUCAUUGUGUUCGAAUUGUAUGACAUGGGGGAAUUGUCUUAUAAGGUAAGGAUAUGGCGAAAUGACAUCGACAUAACAGGUGAUGAGGGCCAGGCAAUCAGGGAGUACGUUCUAGAACCGAUUCCCACUUUCAGAUUCUAGUUCAUACCAAGCUACAUCUUCAAACCCACUAUUGUAAGUUGAAGUAUAUUAAUGCCUGCCUUGGAUUGAUGAAAUGGUUUAUGAAUCUUUCUUAAUUUGUUGGUGUAGAACAUUCCAUUGGCAUUCACAAGAGAACAUUUAAAGGGUAUCGAAGAGUCCUCCGAAAUUAUGUUGUAUGGCAGUAAGUCAUAUGAAGGAAAAAUGCACAUCAAGUACAAUGAAAAAAAGAAAGUUGUCUCUUGCAUGAUAAAGAAAGGAGUUAAAGAAUUUAUUGACGGUGAGAAGGUCGAAGAUAAUGAGAAAACAAUCAUUGAGCUAUUAGAUAAGGAGCCACCAUUUUUCAGCAUCAUAUUUACGUGAAUGGCCGAUCAUGGUGCUUCAAAUUCAGUUGUGAAGUAUAUUAUGCAGGAGUCUUUGCUAUGGUACUCUAUUAGGGGUUGGUUGUGGAUGUUUAAGCCAUGAAAUAUGCACAGUUUAAUGGUGUUUAAGUUCGUACUUUUAACAGACAUGAGUAGCAGUUAUGGGGGUAACUAUUAUUGUGCUAUGUAGAAAAAGUUAUGACUUAAAUUGUGUUAAAUCCUUUAAUCCUUUAUUGGAAAGUAUCUGCUAU